AGUGGAUCCUGAGUACGACGGAGCACGUGAAAUUCCGUCGGAAUCUGGGAGGACCAUCUCCUAAGGCUAAAUACUCUCUAGUGACCGAUAGUGAACCAGUACCGUGAGGGAAAGGUGAAAAGCACCCCGGAAGGGGAGUGAAAUAGAACCUGAAACCGUGUGCUUACAAGUAGUCAGAGCCCGUUAAUGGGUGAUGGCGUGCCUUUUGUAGAAUGAACCGGCGAGUUACGAUUUGAUGCAAGGUUAAGCAGUAAAUGUGGAGCCGUAGCGAAAGCGAGUCUGAAUAGGGCGUUUAGUAUUUGGUCGUAGACCCGAAACCAGGUGAUCUACCCUUGGUCAGGUUGAAGUUCAGGUAACACUGAAUGGAGGACCGAACCGACUUACGUUGAAAAGUGAGCGGAUGAACUGAGGGUAGCGGAGAAAUUCCAAUCGAACCUGGAGAUAGCUGGUUCUCUCCGAAAUAGCUUUAGGGCUAGCCUCAAGUGAUGAUUAUUGGAGGUAGAGCACUGUUUGGACGAGGGGCCCCUCUCGGGUUACCGAAUUCAGACAAACUCCGAAUGCCAAUUAAUUUAACUUGGGAGUCAGAACAUGGGUGAUAAGGUCCGUGUUCGAAAGGGAAACAGCCCAGACCACCAGCUAAGGUCCCAAAAUAUAUGUUAAGUGGAAAAGGAUGUGGCGUUGCCCAGACAACUAGGAUGUUGGCUUAGAAGCAGCCAUCAUUUAAAGAGUGCGUAAUAGCUCACUAGUCGAGUGACACUGCGCCGAAAAUGUACCGGGGCUAAACAUAUUACCGAAGCUGUGGAUUGUCCUUUGGACAAUGGUAGGAGAGCGUUCUAAGGGCGUUGAAGCAUGAUCGUAAGGACAUGUGGAGCGCUUAGAAGUGAGAAUGCCGGUGUGAGUAGCGAAAGACGGGUGAGAAUCCCGUCCACCGAUUGACUAAGGUUUCCAGAGGAAGGCUCGUCCGCUCUGGGUUAGUCGGGUCCUAAGCUGAGGCCGACAGGCGUAGGCGAUGGAUAACAGGUUGAUAUUCCUGUACCACCUAUAAUCGUUUUAAUCGAUGGGGGGACGCAGUAGGAUAGGCGAAGCGUGCGAUUGGAUUGCACGUCUAAGCAGUAAGGCUGAGUAUUAGGCAAAUCCGGUACUCAUUAAGGCUGAGCUGUGAUGGGGAGAAGACAUUGUGUCUUCGAGUCGUUGAUUUCACACUGCCGAGAAAAGCCUCUAGAUAGAAAAUAGGUGCCCGUACCGCAAACCGACACAGGUAGUCAAGAUGAGAAUUCUAAGGUGAGCGAGCGAACUCUCGUUAAGGAACUCGGCAAAAUGACCCCGUAACUUCGGGAGAAGGGGUGCUCUUUAGGGUUAACGCCCAGAAGAGCCGCAGUGAAUAGGCCCAAGCGACUGUUUAUCAAAAACACAGGUCUCUGCUAAACCGUAAGGUGAUGUAUAGGGGCUGACGCCUGCCCGGUGCUGGAAGGUUAAGAGGAGUGGUUAGCUUCUGCGAAGCUACGAAUCGAAGCCCCAGUAAACGGCGGCCGUAACUAUAACGGUCCUAAGGUAGCGAAAUUCCUUGUCGGGUAAGUUCCGACCCGCACGAAAGGCGUAACGAUUUGGGCACUGUCUCAACGAGAGACUCGGUGAAAUCAUAGUACCUGUGAAGAUGCAGGUUACCCGCGACAGGACGGAAAGACCCCGUGGAGCUUUACUGUAGCCUGAUAUUGAAAUUCGGCACAGCUUGUACAGGAUAGGUAGGAGCCUUUGAAACGUGAGCGCUAGCUUACGUGGAGGCGCUGGUGGGAUACUACCCUAGCUGUGUUGGCUUUCUAACCCGCACCACUUAUCGUGGUGGGAGACAGUGUCAGGCGGGCAGUUUGACUGGGGCGGUCGCCUCCUAAAAGGUAACGGAGGCGCUCAAAGGUUCCCUCAGAAUGGUUGGAAAUCAUUCAUAGAGUGUAAAGGCAUAAGGGAGCUUGACUGCGAGACCUACAAGUCGAGCAGGGUCGAAAGACGGACUUAGUGAUCCGGUGGUUCCGCAUGGAAGGGCCAUCGCUCAACGGAUAAAAGCUACCCCGGGGAUAACAGGCUUAUCUCCCCCAAGAGUUCACAUCGACGGGGAGGUUUGGCACCUCGAUGUCGGCUCAUCGCAUCCUGGGGCUGUAGUCGGUCCCAAGGGUUGGGCUGUUCGCCCAUUAAAGCGGUACGCGAGCUGGGUUCAGAACGUCGUGAGACAGUUCGGUCCCUAUCCGUCGUGGGCGUAGGAAAUUUGAGAGGAGCUGUCCUUAGUACGAGAGGACCGGGAUGGACAUACCUCUGGUGUACCAGUUGUCGUGCCAACGGCAUAGCUGGGUAGCUAUGUGUGGACGGGAUAAGUGCUGAAAGCAUCUAAGCAUGAAGCCCCCCUCAAGAUGAGAUUUCCCAACUUCGGUUAUAAGAUCCCUCAAAGAUGAUGAGGUUAAUAGGUUCGAGGUGGAAGCAUGGUGACAUGUGGAGCUGACGAAUACUAA
RNAcentral lists this ribosomal RNA (2498 nucleotides) under Staphylococcus aureus. Its description in RNAcentral is "partial 23S ribosomal RNA". It matches the Rfam family "Bacterial large subunit ribosomal RNA", at positions 400 to 2904 of the family's 2925-position model. Lineage: Bacteria; Bacillati; Bacillota; Bacilli; Caryophanales; Staphylococcaceae. The record is from RNAcentral.